Molecule: ribosomal RNA, 2893 nt
Filed under: Escherichia coli
Lineage: Bacteria; Pseudomonadati; Pseudomonadota; Gammaproteobacteria; Enterobacterales; Enterobacteriaceae
Description: bacterial LSU rRNA
Rfam family: Bacterial large subunit ribosomal RNA
Source: RNAcentral
ACUAAGCGUACACGGUGGAUGCCCUGGCAGUCAGAGGCGAUGAAGGACGUGCUAAUCUGCGAUAAGCGUCGGUAAGGUGAUAUGAACCGUUAUAACCGGCGAUUUCCGAAUGGGGAAACCCAGUGUGUUUCGACACACUAUCAUUAACUGAAUCCAUAGGUUAAUGAGGCGAACCGGGGGAACUGAAACAUCUAAGUACCCCGAGGAAAAGAAAUCAACCGAGAUUCCCCCAGUAGCGGCGAGCGAACGGGGAGGAGCCCAGAGCCUGAAUCAGUGUGUGUGUUAGUGGAAGCGUCUGGAAAGGCGCGCGAUACAGGGUGACAGCCCCGUACACAAAAAUGCACAUGCUGUGAGCUCGAUGAGUAGGGCGGGACACGUGGUAUCCUGUCUGAAUAUGGGGGGACCAUCCUCCAAGGCUAAAUACUCCUGACUGACCGAUAGUGAACCAGUACCGUGAGGGAAAGGCGAAAAGAACCCCGGCGAGGGGAGUGAAAAAGAACCUGAAACCGUGUACGUACAAGCAGUGGGAGCACGCUUAGGCGUGUGACUGCGUACCUUUUGUAUAAUGGGUCAGCGACUUAUAUUCUGUAGCAAGGUUAACCGAAUAGGGGAGCCGAAGGGAAACCGAGUCUUAACUGGGCGUUAAGUUGCAGGGUAUAGACCCGAAACCCGGUGAUCUAGCCAUGGGCAGGUUGAAGGUUGGGUAACACUAACUGGAGGACCGAACCGACUAAUGUUGAAAAAUUAGCGGAUGACUUGUGGCUGGGGGUGAAAGGCCAAUCAAACCGGGAGAUAGCUGGUUCUCCCCGAAAGCUAUUUAGGUAGCGCCUCGUGAAUUCAUCUCCGGGGGUAGAGCACUGUUUCGGCAAGGGGGUCAUCCCGACUUACCAACCCGAUGCAAACUGCGAAUACCGGAGAAUGUUAUCACGGGAGACACACGGCGGGUGCUAACGUCCGUCGUGAAGAGGGAAACAACCCAGACCGCCAGCUAAGGUCCCAAAGUCAUGGUUAAGUGGGAAACGAUGUGGGAAGGCCCAGACAGCCAGGAUGUUGGCUUAGAAGCAGCCAUCAUUUAAAGAAAGCGUAAUAGCUCACUGGUCGAGUCGGCCUGCGCGGAAGAUGUAACGGGGCUAAACCAUGCACCGAAGCUGCGGCAGCGACGCUUAUGCGUUGUUGGGUAGGGGAGCGUUCUGUAAGCCUGUGAAGGUGUGCUGUGAGGCAUGCUGGAGGUAUCAGAAGUGCGAAUGCUGACAUAAGUAACGAUAAAGCGGGUGAAAAGCCCGCUCGCCGGAAGACCAAGGGUUCCUGUCCAACGUUAAUCGGGGCAGGGUGAGUCGACCCCUAAGGCGAGGCCGAAAGGCGUAGUCGAUGGGAAACAGGUUAAUAUUCCUGUACUUGGUGUUACUGCGAAGGGGGGACGGAGAAGGCUAUGUUGGCCGGGCGACGGUUGUCCCGGUUUAAGCGUGUAGGCUGGUUUUCCAGGCAAAUCCGGAAAAUCAAGGCUGAGGCGUGAUGACGAGGCACUACGGUGCUGAAGCAACAAAUGCCCUGCUUCCAGGAAAAGCCUCUAAGCAUCAGGUAACAUCAAAUCGUACCCCAAACCGACACAGGUGGUCAGGUAGAGAAUACCAAGGCGCUUGAGAGAACUCGGGUGAAGGAACUAGGCAAAAUGGUGCCGUAACUUCGGGAGAAGGCACGCUGAUAUGUAGGUGAAGUCCCUCGCGGAUGGAGCUGAAAUCAGUCGAAGAUACCAGCUGGCUGCAACUGUUUAUUAAAAACACAGCACUGUGCAAACACGAAAGUGGACGUAUACGGUGUGACGCCUGCCCGGUGCCGGAAGGUUAAUUGAUGGGGUCAGCGCAAGCGAAGCUCUUGAUCGAAGCCCCGGUAAACGGCGGCCGUAACUAUAACGGUCCUAAGGUAGCGAAAUUCCUUGUCGGGUAAGUUCCGACCUGCACGAAUGGCGUAAUGAUGGCCAGGCUGUCUCCACCCGAGACUCAGUGAAAUUGAACUCGCUGUGAAGAUGCAGUGUACCCGCGGCAAGACGGAAAGACCCCGUGAACCUUUACUAUAGCUUGACACUGAACAUUGAGCCUUGAUGUGUAGGAUAGGUGGGAGGCUUAGAAGUGUGGACGCCAGUCUGCAUGGAGCCGACCUUGAAAUACCACCCUUUAAUGUUUGAUGUUCUAACGUUGACCCGUAAUCCGGGUUGCGGACAGUGUCUGGUGGGUAGUUUGACUGGGGCGGUCUCCUCCUAAAGAGUAACGGAGGAGCACGAAGGUUGGCUAAUCCUGGUCGGACAUCAGGAGGUUAGUGCAAUGGCAUAAGCCAGCUUGACUGCGAGCGUGACGGCGCGAGCAGGUGCGAAAGCAGGUCAUAGUGAUCCGGUGGUUCUGAAUGGAAGGGCCAUCGCUCAACGGAUAAAAGGUACUCCGGGGAUAACAGGCUGAUACCGCCCAAGAGUUCAUAUCGACGGCGGUGUUUGGCACCUCGAUGUCGGCUCAUCACAUCCUGGGGCUGAAGUAGGUCCCAAGGGUAUGGCUGUUCGCCAUUUAAAGUGGUACGCGAGCUGGGUUUAGAACGUCGUGAGACAGUUCGGUCCCUAUCUGCCGUGGGCGCUGGAGAACUGAGGGGGGCUGCUCCUAGUACGAGAGGACCGGAGUGGACGCAUCACUGGUGUUCGGGUUGUCAUGCCAAUGGCACUGCCCGGUAGCUAAAUGCGGAAGAGAUAAGUGCUGAAAGCAUCUAAGCACGAAACUUGCCCCGAGAUGAGUUCUCCCUGACCCUUUAAGGGUCCUGAAGGAACGUUGAAGACGACGACGUUGAUAGGCCGGGUGUGUAAGCGCAGCGAUGCGUUGAGCUAACCGGUACUAAUGAACCGUGAGGCUUAACC